This 170-nucleotide unclassified non-coding RNA is filed under the name uncultured fungus. Its description in RNAcentral is "sequence contains ITS1". The record is from RNAcentral. Lineage: Eukaryota; Fungi.
UUAUUAUGUUAUAAUAAGACUACAUUUGUUACAAUAAUGUUUAGUUUAAAAGUGGAUGCAAGCAUCCAACAGUGCACAGGUGUUAUGGAUAUGAAAGAAGAACCACUGGCUUUCGCCUAUGGUUCAAUCUAAAUUCAUUAAUGAUCCUUCCGCAGGUUCACCUACGGAAA